Molecule: ribosomal RNA, 417 nt
Filed under: uncultured bacterium
Lineage: Bacteria
Description: bacterial SSU rRNA
Rfam family: Bacterial small subunit ribosomal RNA
Source: RNAcentral
UCGGGAAUAUUGCGCAAUGGAGGAAACUCUGACGCAGUGACGCCGCGUGCAGGAAGAAGGUUUUCGGAUUGUAAACUGCUUUAGACAGGGAAGAAACAAGACAGUACCUGUAGAAUAAGCUCCGGCUAACUACGUGCCAGCAGCCGCGGUAAUACGUAGGGAGCAAGCGUUAUCCGGAUUUAUUGGGUGUAAAGGGUGCGUAGACGGGAAGUCAAGUUAGUUGUGAAAUCCCUCGGCUCAACUGAGGAACUGCAACUAAAAUCUAACUUUCUUGAGUGCUGGAGAGGAAAGUGGAAUUCCUAGUGUAGCGGUGAAAUGCGUAGAUAUUAGGAGGAACACCAGUGGCGAAGGCGACUUUCUGGACAGUAACUGACGUUGAGGCACGAAAGUGUGGGGAGCAAAACAGGAUUAGAUACC